Molecule: ribosomal RNA, 425 nt
Filed under: uncultured bacterium
Lineage: Bacteria
Description: bacterial SSU rRNA
Rfam family: Bacterial small subunit ribosomal RNA
Source: RNAcentral
UGGGGAAUAUUGGACAAUGGGCGCAAGCCUGAUCCAGCAAUGCCGCGUGAGUGAUGAAGGCCUUCGGGUUGUAAACCGCUUUUGUCAGGGAAGAAACGGUCUGAUCUAAUAAGUCGGACUAAUGACGGUACCUGAAGAAUAAGCACCGGCUAACUACGUGCCAGCAGCCGCGGUAAUACGUAGGGUGCAAGCGUUAAUCGGAAUUACUGGGCGUAAAGCGUGCGCAGGCGGCUAUGCAAGACAGAUGUGAAAUCCCCGGGCUUAACCUGGGAACUGCAUUUGUGACUGCAUGGCUAGAGUGCGGCAGAGGGGGAUGGAAUUCCGCGUGUAGCAGUGAAAUGCGUAGAUAUGCGGAGGAACACCGAUGGCGAAGGCAAUCCCCUGGGCCUGCACUGACGCUCAUGCACGAAAGCGUGGGGAGCAAA